UUACUACUCCCUCCGUCCAGAAAUACUUGUCCUAUAAAUAUAUAUAAUGGAUGUAUCUAUAACUAAAAUAAGUCUAGAUUCAUCCAUUUUUAGGACAAGCAUUUCCGAACAGAGGAAGUAUUAU
Hordeum vulgare subsp. vulgare (domesticated barley) is the source of this 124-nucleotide non-coding RNA. The record is from Rfam. NCBI's taxonomy places the organism in Eukaryota, Viridiplantae, Streptophyta, Magnoliopsida, Poales, Poaceae.